Molecule: ribosomal RNA, 190 nt
Filed under: uncultured bacterium
Lineage: Bacteria
Description: partial 16S ribosomal RNA
Rfam family: Bacterial small subunit ribosomal RNA
Source: RNAcentral
UCCUACGGGAGGCAGCAGUGAGGAAUAUUGGUCAAUGGGCGAGAGCCUGAACCAGCCAAGUAGCGUGCAGGACGACGGCCCUAUGGGUUGUAAACUGCUUUUAUGCGGGGAUAAAGUGAGGGAUGCAUCCCUUUUUGCAGGUACCGCAUGAAUAAGGACCGGCUAAUUCCGUGCCAGCAGCCGCGGUAAU